UUGACCUCGGAUCAGGUAGGAAUACCCGCUGAACUUAAGCAUAUCAAUAAGCGGAGGAAAAGAAACCAACAGGGAUUGCCCUAGUAACGGCGAGUGAAGCGGCAACAGCUCAAAUUUGAAAUCUGGCUCUCGGGCCCGAGUUGUAAUUUGUAGAGGAUGCUUUUGAUGCGGUGCCUUCCGAGUUCCCUGGAACGGGACGCCAUAGAGGGUGAGAGCCCCGUCUGGUUGGAUGCCAAAUCUCUGUAAAGCUCCUUCAACGAGUCGAGUAGUUUGGGAAUGCUGCUCUAAAUGGGAGGUAUAUGUCUUCUAAAGCUAAAUACCGGCCAGAGACCGAUAGCGCACAAGUAGAGUGAUCGAAAGAUGAAAAGCACUUUGAAAAGAGAGUUAAAAAGUACGUGAAAUUGUUGAAAGGGAAGCGUUUAUGACCAGACUUGGGCUUUGAUAAUCAUCUGGGGUUCUCCCCAGUGCACUUGUCUUUCCCAGGCCAGCAUCAGUUUUCCCCGGGGGAUAAAGGCGGAGGGAAUGUGGCUCUCUUCGGGGAGUGUUAUAGCCCACCGUGUAAUACCCUGGGGGGGACUGAGGUUCGCGCA
RNAcentral lists this ribosomal RNA (590 nucleotides) under Fusarium beomiforme. Its description in RNAcentral is "eukaryotic LSU rRNA". It matches the Rfam family "Eukaryotic large subunit ribosomal RNA", at positions 1 to 601 of the family's 3401-position model. Lineage: Eukaryota; Fungi; Ascomycota; Sordariomycetes; Hypocreales; Nectriaceae. The record is from RNAcentral.